Molecule: ribosomal RNA, 376 nt
Filed under: Strongylopus fasciatus (striped stream frog)
Lineage: Eukaryota; Metazoa; Chordata; Amphibia; Anura; Pyxicephalidae
Description: partial 12S ribosomal RNA
Rfam family: Bacterial small subunit ribosomal RNA
Source: RNAcentral
GCCUAGCCGUAAUAUUAAUUCACACACNNNAGCGCCAGGGAUAUUACGAGCUUAAGCUUAAAACUCAAAGGACUUGACGGUGUCCCAUCCACCUAGAGGAGCCUGUUCUAUAAUCGACUCUCCCCGCUACACCUCACCAUUUUUAGCCUCUCAGUCUGUAUACCUCCGUCGCAAGCUUACCGUAUGAACGAAUCCAGUAAGCCCAAUGGUCUUUUCACCAAUACGUCAGGUCANGGUGCAGCUCAUGAAAUGGGAAGCAAUGGGCUACAAUUUCUAAUGUAGAACAAACGAAAGACUGUAUGAAACUCGGUCUGAAGGCGGAUUUAGUAGUAAAAAGAAAAUAGCGUGUUCUUUUUAACUAGGCACUGGGACGUGU